Molecule: long non-coding RNA, 15710 nt
Filed under: Panicum hallii
Lineage: Eukaryota; Viridiplantae; Streptophyta; Magnoliopsida; Poales; Poaceae
Description: long non-coding RNA (PHAL_LNC000008)
Source: RNAcentral
UUUUUUUUUCUUUGUCAUCCUUUUGCACUUAUUCACAAUGAACUACCCUGAACUUGCUUGCACUUGCCUGCUUAGUGGCAUAUCAUGGCACUUCUAGUUAUUCGUCAUUCCAUUAUGCAUAUUUUAAUAAUAUAGUAAUUUCCGCCAUGUGCUAUAUUUUUAUUGAAUAACAUGGAUCAUUAUGCACUAAGGAGGAUAUAUAAUUUUCACACUUAAGCUUAAACUUACUAUAUCAAAGAGAUUUGGAGUCUGGUACUGCUGUACUGGUGCAUAUCAUCAUACUUAAGCAAUCAUAACUUGAUUUUCCUGAUAACCAUGGCUUUAUUUUUGUCAGUACAUCAGAUGGUCUGCGCAUGUUAUUCAGCGUUUGUCAUGUUUGUUGUUGUAAAUUGUAUAAUCUUAAUGAAACAAUCAGCUGAUGAAAUGAUUAUGUUUCAGCAUCCACCUUUGUUAUGCAGUCUAGUGUUGGUGUAGUGUUGGGUUCUGAUACUUAAGAUAUCUGUUAUGACUACUGAGCCUCUAGCUGCACUGUACAUCAGAUCCAUGCUGUGACAGAAUACUUAAAGUGGUUCAUGACUAUAUCUCUUGCUCAGUCUGCUGCACAUCCUCCACUUGAUUUUGAUCGACUCCUGUAAACAUAUCUGUAUUUUCUUGAUUAUGGUGCUUUAUUUUGGGGGACAGGCUAGUUCUGUUCUUCCCGCAGUUGUCCGUUCAGUUUUGGUCAUUUUUAUAGUCAAAUAACAGGCUGAAUCAUAUAAUCUCUUCAAUAGACAUCUGAUUACUUGUAAGGAAGAGUAUUCUUCAGGAGAACCAAGAAUCAAUAUGUUAUUAUAUACAUGCAUCGUCUUACAUUUUAAGUGGAUGUGUACUCACCUUCUCUUACAUGCCAAUGCAGGUUUGCACACAGCGGUCAUGGAAGAGGCCUUAUGGUGUUGGCCUCCUUGUUGCUGGACUGGAUGAGUCUGGAGCUCAUCUCUAUUACAACUGCCCCAGCGGGAACUACUUUGAGUACCAGGCAUUUGCCAUCGGUUCUCGCUCCCAAGCUGCCAAGACUUUCCUCGAGCGCAGGUUCGAGGGCUACAACGACUACACCCCAGAGCAACUCAUCAAGGAUGCCCUCUCUGCCAUUAAGGAGACUCUGCAAGGCGAGAAGCUGACCAGCUCCAACUGCACUGUGGCCAUCGUCGGCAGGAAGGACGACGGCACCCUUGAGCCGUUCGAGAUGAUUGACGCGAAGAGGAUCCAGGAGAUAAUCGACUCCAUGGAGGCUGUUGAGGAGGCGCCUGCGGAGCCCAGCUCCAUGCAGGAGGAGGAAAGGGGCUCGGACGCUGCUCCCAUGGACAUCUAGACUGGAAUACACCUCAUAUGAACCCUCUACCCGGCAUUCCGAGUUUCCAAAGACUAGACUAUUUUAGAAAGUUGUGUUGUGACUCUUGUGUACGAUUUGCUUCCAUGCUUCGGCUUUGCGACGGUCUCUUUGACCAACAGUUGGGUUUGGACUGAUUAUUUUAUCAUGUGACGUGAACAAAUCGUUUCGUUCCGGAGGCCGUCCUGACUUUGCAUAUCAGUUGUGCCUGAGAUGAUCAUGCUCUGGUUACUGGUUUGAUACAUGGUUUCCUGCUGGCACUGGCAGUCCCAGCUUACAGUUUCGCAAUCGCAAACCUUAGAGCUUGAUUCAUUUGUGGUUGACUGGUUGCUCAUGUUUUUUUUACGUGCCUCAUCUGGUAUAUACACAUAGACACGCCAGCCUACACGACACGCACAUGCACAACUCACUCGAAGCAUAUUCAUAUAACCAUACUUGCAACUACACUCGAGGCACAUUCAUUUAACUCCUUAGAUAAAGAUAGAGCGCGCGUCACAUUCUCCUUGUGGGUUCACACGAGAGAGGCUGCAAACUUUUUGCUCGGCUUGAUGGCCAUGGGUGCCAGCCUGCUGCGGCAGCACGGGCAUUUCCAAAUUCCAAAAGUGUGAGCAUUGCCGAGAGAGUGGUGUCAGCACUACUCCAGAAAUCGUUUUGAUCAGACAGAAACGGCGCAAAGAUUUCGAAUAGAUCAGGACCGCCCACCGCCGUGAUCGUACGGCCAGGAAAAAAAUCACGAACCCUGACACUCCAAGGAAACUUCGUAAUGCGGCAAGACCGCCUUUAUUCCCCAAAGCCGCGGGCGGUCUGGACAAAGCCCAAGAUAAAAGGAAUGGAACGCCUCCGGCCACGACACGAGCGCUCCUCUCGCCGCACCCGAAAUCCGCCGCCACCGCCGUCCAGAGCCCCAUCCCGCCUCCCCGGCGGCACUCCGAGGCUAGGCGGGUUCCGAGCGCCGCGCCGCGGCCCCUCGUGGUUUUGCGGCCGCGGGGUGCGAGUGCGAUCCUAGGCAGCGAAGGGGUCGGCGGGGAGGAGGAGGGAGGACACGAGUGAUAGCCCCUCCCCCGCCCGCCUCCUGCAAUAAUUAUUUGCUGCGCGCAGGCGCAGGUCGGUUUCGAAUUCGCCAUUUGCCGUGCCGACCAAUAACCGAUGGCCCCGCGCGCCGCCCUCCCCCUCCUCCUCCCCGCCGCGCUCGCGGUGCUGCUGCUGGUGGCGGCCUGCUCCGCGGCCCCCGGCGUCUUCCAGGUGCGCCGCAGGUUCCCCGCCGGUGGAGGCGCCGCCGCGCUCCGCGCCCACGACGGGCGCCGGCACGGCCGCCUCCUCGCGGCAGCCGACCUCCCGCUCGGCGGCCUCGGCCUCCCCACCGACACCGGGUACGUGCCAGCACUGGACUGCCGCUCCUCCUGCUCGGCGGCGCGCGCUAGCUAGUGUACUUUUCGUGGAUUUCUCCGCGGUGGGUGGCUGAUUCGGUUGUUGUGGGGAUUGCUGGGUCGGCCGGACCGCCGCGCGCAGGCUCUACUUCACGGAGAUCAAGCUCGGGACGCCGCCCAAGCGCUACUACGUGCAGGUCGACACCGGCAGCGACAUCCUCUGGGUGAACUGCAUCUCCUGCGACCGAUGCCCCCGCAAAAGCGGCCUCGGGGUACCGUCCGUUCCCCACUUCCGCGUCCACUCUUUUGUUGUUGGGGGUUCUCAAUUGCAGAUUUGUGCUCACUUCGAUGUGACAUUGCGGUGUGGGCGUUGCUGUGCAGCUAGACCUGACGCUCUACGACCCCAAGGCGUCCUCGAGCGGGAGCCCGGUCUCGUGCGACCAGGGGUUCUGCGAGGCCACCUACAAGGGCAAGCUGCUGGGGUGCAGCGCCAACAUGCUCUGCGAGUACAGCGUCAUGUACGGUGAUGGCAGCUCGACGACGGGGUUCUUCGUCACUGAUGCGAUGCAGUUCGACCAGGUGACCGGGAAUGGGCAGACGCAGCCUGGAAACGCCAGUGUCACAUUUGGGUGAGUCCCUGUUUCGGUUUGUCGCGUUACAAUCGUUUUCGUAUGAGAUAAUGUUGGACCAGCGGACAGCCCACAUUGGAUCAGUUAUUAUUAGCUCUACCUGUGUCAUCAUAGAUGUUGGAUACAUAAUCAAACUUCGGAUGUUUAUGCUGAAAAGCUUUAUCAAUUACAUGACGUGUAUGUGAGGAAACAAUGUGCAAUUACUCUAUAUUUCUACUUGCAUUGUGUGGCAAAUUUUUCUAGGUAGGAUUUGAACUUGUUAUUAUGCUGUCUCAAAAGAUUCUUGACCAAUACCACAAAGAUAGCUAAUAUGAUUGUGUGACCAUGAGCUUGAAUUUUUUAUGCUCAGUGUGGAGUAAUCAAAUUGUAUUCUUUGCCCUUUGUCUUGGCUUGUGCUAUUACUUCAUUAAAAAGUUAGGUAUCAGGGAAGGUACCUAACUCUGCUGUUGGGUAUACUAUAUUCAUCACUUACUUUUCGUCAAUAAGAUUACAGCACAGGAACUAACUAGGAGACAAGGUUCAAUCAAGGCAUUAAUAUGUGUUGAUAGUGCUGAAAACUUCAGUGGGGAUAACUGAUUCUCCUUUCCUUUGUAGGUGUGGUGCUCAGCAAGGUGGGGAUUUGGGAAGUUCAAACCAAGCUCUCGAUGGAAUUCUUGGUUUUGGCCAGGCAAAUACAUCAAUGCUAUCGCAGCUAGCUGCUGCUGGUAAAGUUAAGAAGAUAUUUGCUCAUUGCUUGGAUACCAUAAAUGGAGGUGGAAUUUUCGCUAUUGGAAAUGUGGUGCAGCCAAAAGUAAAAACAACACCGUUGGUAGCUGACAUGUAUGUAUGUUAACCUUGCCGUAAUAAUUGUUAUUUUGGUUGCAUUACACUCAUGGUGAAUCUGUCUGGAACUGAGUUCUAUGUUGAUAUUCUCUAUUAGUUAAUGUUCAAUUCCUAAAACUUGCUUCAGAACACAGGAUGUUUAUCACUUCUGUACAGGGAACCACAAAAGUGACUUAUAUUCGCUCCUGCAUAUGAUAUAAUACAAAAUGAACAAUCACUGUUAUUUUGCCAAACUAAAAGCUCUAGCUGGACUUAAAGAGAAGUUCCAUGCCACUUUGCUUAGUGUCCAACUAACAAGGAAAAAUGAUAUGAGAACUGGAAUGAAUUUGAUAUUAGAGCAUGUACGAAGAAAAGAAAGAUAGAUGUAUAUUAGAUCUGCUUGUUAGACAAAUGUUCUGUCUGCUAUCACUGGCAUUCAUGUCAUGUUACAAACAGAUGUUUCACCAAUGUCGCUUUGCUAAUAACGCUUCCUGUUCCUUUUUGUUUUUGCCCAUGGCCUCUUUUGAACACACCAUUGUUUUUUGGGGGUUUAAAUCGGUAAAUGUCUUUAUCAAUGGCAUUAUAGCAAACUUUUUAUGAAUGCGCAAUUCUUGGCACAUAGAGCAGUUCUACUUGAUGUGCAAUACAGUGCAGCUGGCUUUUUCACUUAAUUUAUACCAUACUCAUAGGCUGUCAAAAUUUUACCUUCCAGGCCGCACUACAAUGUGAACCUUGAAUCAAUUGAUGUUGGUGGUGCUACAUUACAGCUACCAGCUCAUGUUUUCGAAACAGGAGAGAAAAAAGGUACCAUUAUCGACAGUGGUACAACCUUGACAUACCUUCCAGAAUUGGUUUUCCAAGAAGUAAUGUUUGCGGUACGACAAAGAUCCCGUGCUAUUUCUUCCCUUGUAAUUGAGGAUGAUAUGUAUACUUUACAUAUUAUAUUUCUCAACUGAUUGUAGGUAUUUAAGAAGCAUCAAGAUAUAAAAUUCCACAAUGUUCAAGAUUUUAUGUGUUUCCAAUACUCUGGAAGGUACACUUUACAUACAAUAUAACUACAGUUGGAUGAGUGUCAAUUAUUAAUUACAAUUUCUUCUACGCUGCAUUUCUUAUAUGCUGAAAUAGUCAUCAUAUUGAAAUUCUGAUAUCGAUAAUGCCCUCUCGUACUUCUUUCAUGAAUGGACAACUUCUUUUCGUCAUACUUUCUCUGUUUUCAUUUGCAUUGACACAAAGAGGAAUAACCAGCCCACAGAUAAUUUUCUCCUGCAAUGAUUAUGAUUCUAACUGACGUAUUCCUUUCUCUUGCAGUGUUGAUGAUGGUUUCCCAACUAUCACCUUCCAUUUUGAGGACGAUCUUGCACUGCAUGUGUAUCCACAUGAGUACUUUUUCCCAAAUGGGGUAACAUGACAUUUCUCUCCUGGUGGUAUAUUCAUGCAAGAUAGACUACAGUUUUAUUCACCCAUUGGCAUUGCUUCAGCAUGUUACAACUUGCAGCAAUUACUUGAAUAUGGCUUCAGUGCCCCCAUCUGCUUUUGCUCCCUUUUGGGUGAAGCACAUGUUAAAUGGUUAAAAAAACACCUUUCGUAAUAUCACAUUUGUCAUUGGUAACCAAAAUGAAGAAUCAAUUAACUAACUUUACUGUAUAAAAAUAUAUGAUGCAGCUACUGGCAGAAACAAAUUUCAGCCCUUUGCUAUUCUUUUAGUUCCAUUGUUUCUUUGUUAGGGGUUUCUGUUCUCCAAAAAUUUCUGAAGCAUUCCAUAUCAAACCUCUAGGCUGAUUCUUUUUUUACUUCUUUUAAUAGUGUCUGUUUGUCCUUGAUGAGAAAGAAUUUUGUUUAAUUCAAGAGCUAUUCUUUUGGAUAAAGGUGUUAUAUCAAACUAAGGAAAAAUUGUCGAAAUACCUCUAGUGAAACCUAUUUUUCCGAAAUGCCAUUGAGCUCUGUCAGUGACUGAUGGGAGCCUGGUCCCACAUGUCAUUGAGGCAUUCAAUGGAAUGUUGAAGUGCAACUUCAGUAAUGGUAUAGUGCCAAUUUCCCAAACUCUGGAAUUACACAAUUGAUCAGACCAUGGUUAUCACCCAUUCUUUUGCUUCAAAAUUAGUAAAGUACAUAUGUAGCACAUCUAGCUUAUUGUGCACUAGUUUGUAUAUGUAUAUAUUUUCUUUAUUAUAUGUUUGUUGCUGGAAGCUCUUCUCUUUUGGGAAGAUUAAGCCAUUAUUUGAACAGAUACAUGACGUUUAAACUUCUAUCCGGUUAAAGCCUCUAUGCUGCAUACUCUACAAUAUACGAUAUAUCGUUAAAAGUUGUUUCCAGUAGAAUGUUAAUCAAAGUCUGAUAUUUUUGGGUUCUAGCCACAACAAUGGUUCGAAACAACAGUGAUUAUGAGUGCUUCACGAAAAAUAUGUGGCCAUGACUCUUAUGAUCCCACGUUUUUCUUUUGUUGGAGCAGAAUGAUAUAUACUGCGUGGGAUUCCAAAAUGGUGCAUUACAACCAAAGGAUGGAAAGGACAUUGUGCUUAUGGGAGGUCAGGGUUUCACUGGAUUAGCAAAUUCCUUUCGUUUUAAAUUGCUGUGUUUUUGACACGACUGUAUGUUUUCUUCCAGAUCUUGUUCUUUCAAACAAGUUGGUUGUCUAUGACUUGGAAAAUCAAGUCAUCGGGUGGACUGACUACAACUGUAAGUGCUAGCAUGUUCAAACUGCUCAUUCUAAGUUCAUUUCAUAGUAGCUUACAGCUGUACUUUGCUGUUAUCCUUUUGGACAUAUUGACUUUUUUUUUCCAACUAUAUUCCAUGAAACCUGGAACCAUGAGCUUGCACAGAAUAAUUUAUAUUCUCUACCCAUCAAUUGCCUUUUUAUUUUUUUUAUUUUUCUGGUUAAAGAUAAUUUCAUCUUUUUUGAAAUAAAGAGAGGGAAAAAUGAAAAAAUGCCAUGGUUGGUUAGUGCAAGCAUUGCUUGCUCUGAAUUGUGAAAAAGUACUACUCAUGGGUUGCCUUUUAUUUCUUAUUAUCCGCUUGUAAUUUCAGGUUCAUCGAGCAUUAAAAUUAAGGACGACAAGACAGGCGCAACAUAUACCGUCAAUUCACACAAUAUCUCCUCCGGAUGGAGAUUCCACUGGCGCAAGUCCCUGGUUCUGUUGUUGGUAACAGUUGUUUGCGGCUAUUUGAUAUGCUAACUCUGUUGUACAACACGGGCACGGAACACUGAUGGAAAUUCAUUUGAUUCAUAUUCUUUUCAUGAAAGAAAAGGAAAGGUAGGGCCUUAGAUUGUGUUGUUGUUGUCUGACCACGGAAAACAUUGAAAACAGAAACAUUGUACACUACACAGUGAGCCUUUGUAUGACUGGUGUAAUGCUGAGGUGGGAAAUAUGGCUGCACGUAAUUUAAGUUUCCCAUAAGAAAAGUUGUGUGUCAAAUAUAUAUCUUCUCUUUUGUUUGCAGUACAGGAAUGUUUAGGUAUGAACUUAUUUCUGCUGUUUUUGAUACAGUAAUGUUUUUUACGACCCCAGAGACUGGGUUGGAAAAGCCGGUCCCGGUUUUUGCCCACUGAACUCAUUCUGGGUCUGGUAUACUUGUCUCAUAAUUCUCAUCCACUCAGAAUCAUAUGUUGCAAAUCCAAACAUAAAAGCUGACAAAGGAUUGAGAACCAUGGAAAUGCACGUACUGUGCGAGUGCUGUGGUGAUCCAUUUCGCUCGGUUGAUGGCAUGCCCAUGGGGUGCCAGCUGAGCUGCUGCGGCAGCACGGGCAUUGCCUUCCGGGAGAUGCGUGUCACAUUCCUUUGUGCUACUCGCCUGGCGUAUCCGCGUAUCACAUGUUUCUUCUUUGGAGCACGACAGAUUCCACUUCUACCCAUUACUGUAUACUAUCAUGUGCAGUAUGGUGUGAUCACUCGGGGAAAUGGGUAUGGUUGCAACUACCGGAAAUGGAUGGGGCUGCGUGUUAGGAAUGCAGAUUUGAAUUUGAACAUUCUAGGAUUUUAGCGCGGGAGCAUAGAAAAAUAUGUAGGGAUCGCACCGUGUGAGGGGUCCUUAGCCAUCUUACAUCAAAGAGAAUUUUAUCAUUUAGGAGUAUUAAAUAAAAUUUAAUUAUAAAAUUAAUUGCAGAACCCCUAACUUAAUUCGCGAGACGAAUCUAAUGAGGUAUAUCAUUCAUGAUUAGUGGAUUAUAUCUUAAUUAGUCUUAUUAAAAUUCAUCUCGCGAAUUAGCACCUAUUUAUAUAGAAGGUUUGUAAACAAAUUUUAUUUAAUAUUUCUAAAUAUUAAAAACUUUUUUAAUGUGAUAGAGCUAAACUUUAGCGCUCUGAAACCAAACGGACCUUUUAAGACUCGGGAGUUGGGGUCGUGGGAACGUUGGAAUGGAGAGGUAAGAAUGGUACGAAGAUGGUUUCGGAAAUGUUGUCUAGAUCGUCUAAGCAAAACAAAACUAAACUCCGGACUGAGGCAAACACCACUUGCUUAAACACACACGUGCGCCCACCCAAGGGCUUUAACCCAACAUCGCAUGUUCCCUAGCGCCGGGAGACGCCGCCGCACAGUCUGGAUGAUACAGUCCAGUGAUACAGCCAGCCAGCCUGCAAGGCUGCAAGCAAGGAUGCAACUGGGCAGGGCCCGUACCCAAUUGAUGGCGAAUUAACUGCGGCCAUGUGUGCCUCAGCCGUCUCCCACGAGGGAGCCACCGUGCUGACGCCAGGGCCCCGCCGCCGCGCGCGUGGACCCCGCGCGUCAGCGGCCGCGAGCGCCUGCGCCGUCAUAAACCCCCGUCUCGUCGUCCUCGCCUUCCGCCAGUUCGCCGUCGCCUCACGCCACCGCAGCAGUCAGCAGCCAUGGCGGCGGCGGCCUCCUCCGCCCGUCUCCUCGCCGCGGCCGCCGUCACGGCCGCGGGGUACCGGCGCGCGGUGCUCGGGCGCGUCCCGGUGGCAGCCUCCCUCUCGUUCCCCCGCGGCCACACCCCGCCAUUCCGCGGCCGGGCAGGCCUCUCCUGCUCCGCCGCCUCAGCCUCGCUCUCCCUCCCCUCCACCGGCGGCGGGUGCUCGCCGCCGGGCUCCGUGCCCUUCAACCUCCUCCCGCCGGACUCCGAGCCCUUCAUCGAGUGGGACCCGCACCCGGCCGACUCCGCCGCCUCGCCGCUCGGCGGCGGCGGGCCCGGGGAGGGCGCCACGCUGGUGGUGCUCCUCGGCUGGCUCGGCGCGCGCCAGAAGCACCUGCGCCGCUACGCCGACCUCUACCGCGAGCGCGGGGUCGGCGCGGUGCGGUUCGUGGUGCCCGUGCGCGAGCUCAUCGGCCUCGACCUGGGGCGCCGCGUCGAGAGCAGGGUCGCCGAUCUCUCCGACGAGAUCGCCGCCUGGUGCGACGCCGACCGCCGCCGCACGCUCCUCUUCCACACCUUCAGCAACACCGGGUGGAUCGCGUAAGGCUCCCCAACUCGUCUCCUCCCCCCUCUUCGCUUCACGCAAUAUCGCCAAGCUCUUAAUGCUAUUCUUCAGCUAUCAAUUGGAAUGCUCAAAAGCGGAUAGUGACUUGUAGAGCAUUUUACUGACGUAUGCAUUGCAUGGGUUUCUCUUUCAAUGCAAACUGGCAUGGGGGCUCGAGCAUGUGGUGUGGCACGUUUUUGUUAUGAAACUUUGGUUUCCUACAUGAGAUUGCUGGAUAGAAUGUGCUCGAUUCAUGAGGCAUAUCUUCACUGAAUAUGCCAUGAGUUCGAUAGGAGCAUUUAGUACGGUACCACAUCCAUUUCUAGUUGGAAAACUAAAAGUGGUUCUGCCAGCCUGCAUAGGAAAAAAUCUCAGUGGUCUGUUUGGUGUUCUCGUUUGGUGUAUUGUAGAAUGGAUCUCCUUGUGAUUCUCGAAGGUAUGUGUUUCCACUCCCAGUGGUUAAUGUAGUAGAAAUGGCGAAAGUGAGCAGAAAGGACUGAGUUCGGGUAAUUGCUUGAAGAACAGACUAGAUAAGCAUUAGCCGCUAACUACGUUGAAUAAACAGAACGAAAAAUUCUUGAUAUUUAUGAUGCCACGCUGCUGAUUUUGGGGUGAUGCUCACAUUGUUACUUUGUGCACAAUUUCCUUAUGGCGAUCUGUUAUGUAGCAAUUGUGUUAUGAAACUUAUGGUUUCUUAUUAAAGUUAAUGUGCUUACUUACUUGUUGUGCUGAAAUACAUUCGUGGCUGGAUUUGGUCCUUAUUUUUGCCAUUGAAACUUGAUACUUUGUAUUUUAUUAUAAUAGCUUCAUUUUGGGAUAGUUCAGUUGAAUAUUCUGCAUCUAGUCAAGGAUGUGUUCCCAUUAAUCUUACUUGGAAUCCUAGUAGAUCCUUUACUUGAUUCUUUAAUCUUUUAUCUGGCGUUCAUGCCAUUAAAUUUACUGUGCAUAAAAACCUUUGUGUUUUAUUUUUACUUUCUUUCCAGCUAUGGUGCCGUACUGGAGAAUCUACAAUCCAGAGCUGACAUAACUGAGAGAAUAAGAGGAUGUAUUAUAGACUCUGCACCAGUUCUAGAGAUAAGACCAGAGGUUUGUGUACCUGUCUUUUUUUCUUACGGAAUCAGAUUUUGAAUUAAAGUAAUUAUUUAACUGUUAGUAGUGUUCCGAAGUUCUCCAUACAUUUAGCAUGUAGACUUUUCUAUCUGGAUUAUUUUUGUACCCUGAACUAUUAUUGUGUCUACAAUGGUUUCUGCAUAGCAUUCUGGACAAUUAAGCUUGUUUGCUUGAAAGUUCUCAUUUAUAAGUUAAACUCAGGUCUGGGCUGCUGGGUUCUCUGCUGCAAUGUUGAAGAAAAGUAGUUCCAUGACAGGUCCUUCAACUGAGUCUCUUGAUGGGCCUAUUGUAAAUGGCACCUUGAACACAGUUAACUCUAAUGUGAUGCAACCAUCAUGGGGCGAAUGCUUUCUUCUGUCAACUCUGCAGAAAUUCUUUGAAAUGGUUCUUCAUGUGCCUGAUAUAAACACGUAAGUCCAUUUGCUGUUUUUAGUCACUGCUCUGUUUAAGUAGCAUGGACAGCUCAUAUAUUUGUGCCAAGCAACAGUCAUCAAGGUUUAUCCACUAAAAUUGACAUGGCUAUUCUGUUGAUCUGAUGUUACAUGUCUUUUAGUUUACACUGAUAUUAAUACUAUACUAUUUAAAAUCCAUGAAGAACUGCAAUAGUAUGUUCAGUACAAAAGAAGUAAAGCUAUAUGAGUGCCUCUUAAUCUCUUAUCAAGUAUUGCUCCAUGCACUGAAAGGAGUCGGAAAUAAUAGACUCAGCCCAUAGACACCAGAUUCUUCUUUCAGUUCUAUCUUUUUCUUCUCAAUUCAAUCAAAUUUGUCCUGAAUCUUGUCUCCUUCGUAACAACAACUAAUAUGAGCUUUUAGCAAAGUAAAUUACGAUGAUUUACCAAACUGGUUUGUGCAGAGUACAUUAAAUCAGAGUAAACUAGCUCUGAAUGACGGUGAAUGGUUAAGGAACAUAAAAGAAAUAUACUCAUUGUUUAUAGCAGAAAGGGGCUGCUUCAUAUAGUUAAUUUCAUUCAUAGUGUCAUUAUUUUCUCCUUUUCUUUGAUGUAUUUGUUUUCCUAUUUGAUUCCUUGAGGGCAUUGUUGGCUCAUCACUUUUUCAUGUAGAUUCAAUAUAUUUGGUUUUUCUUUCUCCAUGCGUGCAAAAUGGAUGUGAUGUCUUCUCUAUUACCUGAUAUGUUUCACAACUUGCUGAUCCGUUCAGGCGACUGCGCAAGGUUCUGUCAGUUCUUUCAGACAAGCAGCCUCCAUGCCCCCAGUUCUAUCUGUACAGCUCAGCCGACCGAGUCAUACCAGGUGAAUGUGUCGAGAGCUUCAUGGACUUGCAAAGAUCGCUAGGGCGGAGCGUAUACUCCCACAAUUUUGUCUCCUCGCCCCAUGUGGACCACUACCGGAGCUUCCCACACAUCUACUCUGCUAAGAUCGACGAGUUCCUGAAGAUCUGCUCCACAGUCAAAGUAUCAGUAUCAUGACCCGACCCGCCUUCAACUAGCAGGCCUGUCGAACAACUUCCUGAUUUUUGUUGUAUUCUUGAGCUGGAGCCGCUGUAAUCUCACCCUGAGAGACACACAUAAUUCGGUGAAUAUCUUUGUCCGUCUUCUUGAAGCCUUGGAGGAUGCGCUCGUUGAAAGGAAUAUGUGUGAGUAAAGCCUUUUUCGCGCUCCUCUUUUUUCUACCCUUGUCCUAAGAACAUAUAGCUGUUUUCCCCUCUGAUCGUAGGCUCCUGGAGAGGAAGUGUACUGUAUCAUGAUUUUUUGAAGGCGUACUCUAAACUGAACGCCAUUGUGUAAUUCAAGUGACAUUGAAGUUUUAGAGUGCCUGAAUUCGAGGCAACAUCAACAUGUACUCGUUUCCGAUCAGCAUGGCUUCAUCUUGUGGCACGCUGCACCCAUCCCGGCGUGUCCUGCUUGUUGUUUGUGCUCAGCUUGAUCCCAUUGUACUAUAUUUUAUCUCUCAUCUCUGCCAUGUCCUAACGCAGCUGCAGAAGGGAUCCCUUGUUCGAUUCGAUCGCGGCCGCUGCAGCUGCGGCGCGGCCAGGUUGGUGUCUGUAUCUGUAACCCUCACGUUGUUGGAGCGGCCACCACCGAACAGCCUACAGCUAGGCUCUUGGCGUCGCCUUGCAGGUGCCGAUCGAGGCGAUGGCCAGGUCAAAACCAAGGCGACCGUAGGGCGGCGCGGCAAUAUAAGCGGCAGCCGCGACGCCACACGCGCGAGGCACGAGCCAACCACCCCUCCGGUUUGUUUGUUGCGCGCGCUGCAGCGUCGAGGCCCGAGGCGUGCGCAAGCCAUGGCCAUGGAGGAAGGAUCAAGAGGAGGAGGAGAGGAAGAAACUGUUGCCGUGGGCACGGUGGCUGAUGCUGCUGCCGCUGCGGACGCCGUUGUCGUCCUGGGGCCAAACGACGACGACGGGAAGGAGGCGGUCGAGGGGAGAAGGCCGGCGCCGGCAGCCACUGCCGCCUACGCGGCCGUCGUGAUCGGGGGCACCUUUGACCGGCUGCACCAGGGCCACCAUCUCUUCUUGAAGGUAUGGCUCGCCUUCCAUCUUUGUCUUCCUCUGCUUUGUCUUCUGCUCUGCCUGCCUGUCGUGUUACUUUCAUCAUCCAGUUCAUGCGGCAACCGAACUGAAAAGUACACGCUCCAUGGCUAGAAGCUGCAUUAGUUCUUCGGCUUUUCGGAAUAAACUCAAAUCAUCUGUGAUCGCAGACAUGGCGUCUUCUGUCUUUUCCCGCGUCACGUAAACCUCGAUCAGUUCAUCGUUUCAUCCGUGCUCACUGCUAAAAGUUGAUCUCGGUGGCAUGCUUUGUCCGUUUCUCUUCUGUCCCAUUGCUUCUUCUUGUUCUUGGUGGUAGUUGAGCGAGCCUCGAUGGAAGAAGAAAGAUUCGUUUCCUUUUCUUUUCGUUUAUAAUUCUUUAUAAUUCAUCAAAGAAAUAAGAAUAUUCUCUCAUAUAUAUAAAUAAAGAAAUAUUCGUUUGCUUGACAAAACGUGGCAGGCGGCGGCGGAGCUGGCGAGGGAGAGGAUCGUGAUCGGCGUCUGCGACGGCCCGAUGCUCGCCAAGAAACAGGUUUGCUCAUUGCUUUUGCGUCAUUGGUCUAUGCACCAUCCAUAGUACUAAAAUAAAGCUCGCUUCUACUCCAAGGGCACUUGAUGCUGAGCGAGCGCCACACUUGCUUCUACUCUAAUGAACCUUGACCGCACAGUCUCUAGAAUUCAAUUGCAACUGAUGCCACAGUGACAUCUACUAAGAUGUCUUAACUCUCAACUCAUACCAUCUGAUGGCAUACUGCGUAUCCGUAGGUUCGUUGUUUCAAAUUAUUGGGCAUGCCAUUUGGAAUGCCAAGGAUUACUACUACAACACACUAGCCAAUGAGCACAAUGGGACCCAGUGGUGUCUGGUGGGCUGGCCAGUGAGCCAGUGCAAUCAGAGACGUCAGACGACAGGAAUAGGGCGAUAUCAGUCACUGAACCAUGUCAUAAUCCAAUAAAGGCCUAAUUGAAACAUGUAGGUGGGCGGUUCUACGGAUUGCAGUUGCGCAAGUUCAUUGAACAUGGACAGGUUCCAAAUUCAAUGGCGAAUUUGGUAGGGGUUAAGUGGUGGCAUAUUCCCUUCAAAGCAUGCAUGUGAGCCACGCAUGGUCAUUGCAUGUUCAUAAGAAUCUAGACCCUUUUUUUAUGGGUAUAGAAAUCUAAUGGGCAUCUUUCGCUUUGGUCACCUUUUUCCAUGCAGUAUGCCUACCUGAUACAGCCAAUCGAGAAGCGGAUGGAAAAUGUCAAGGAUUAUAUUAAGGUACCCACAUGAUCCAAAACUUCUCCUAUGUUGGUUGCCUGGAAGUUUCUUUAUGCAAUUCCAAGUAGAUGUACAUCAGUAGGCAUUCCCAUCCUCAAGCUGCAAGUAUCAAAACCCAAGUACAACCAUUUUUGUUGUUAGUGCACUCUGCAAAAUCUUUAUAAGACUACAUGUUGAAGGAUUCAUGCACAUCGGUGUGCUUUGGGCAAUAGAUUGUUAGCAGAUACCAUGAUGCUGUGCAGCUGUCUUUAACACUCACUCUUUCCACUUGCAGUCUAUCAAGCCUGAUCUUGAGGUUCACGUAGAGCCAAUAGUGGACCCUUACGGCCCCUCCAUUGUUGACGAAGGUCUUGAGGCCAUCAUUGUCAGGUUAGGAUUCUCUUGCCCUACAUAUUAUUUUCUGUUAUGGUCCAUCUUAUUUGCCCAACAGUGCCUGACCAAAUCUUAAAGCUGAUGUUGUACGUCAGCAAAAAAUAAUUCUGUUUAUUUAAAAUCCGUUUGUAUUCAAUUCUUGAGGCAGCAAGGAGACAUUGCCGGGAGGCCUCGCUGUCAACAGGAAGAGGGCAGAGAGAGGCCUCACACAACUGCAGGUUUGUUUGCAACUAUGAAUUGCUAUUUCUUUUCUUUGAAAAAAAAAGAAAGAGUAUGUUCAGAGAUAGUUGCCUUCGACCCUGCAGAUUGAAGUAGUAGAACUGGUGCCAGAGGAAGCUACGGGGAACAAGAUCAGCUCAACAGCUUUCAGAAAGUUGGAAGCUGAGAGAGAAUUACAGCACCAGCAAGAGACACAGCAGCAAACAGCAGCCCAACUGGAGUGCAGAACGUAGCCGUUCAGUUAUUUUAGUAUUUUCAAGUUCACUGAGCAGAAUAACGCACUACACCAAUUGUGAAUUGUAUUUUUCACUUUUUUAUGAAGAGCUGAGCUACACUCAUCCAGGUAUAGCAGAAUGCCCACCUAGUAAAGGACUGUAACGAGCAAAUUUAGGCAAAAACAACAAAACUUAUGAUGAAAGAAGCACAAGACAAGGAUGACAAAAGUACAUUUCGUAAUACUAGACAUUGUUCAGAUGCUAACGUUUGAACAAAUCGAAAUUUACACUGUUGCACACACAGAAUAAUUUACAAAUUAGGGCAAUUUUCUACGCCAUUGGCUAAAACAUCUAUCCUGAUCUGCCACCUAAAAAACUUAUCCUUUACAUGCCAUUGUCCAUAAAUUCUAAAAUCUUCCAUGCCGUUGUUGACUUGACUCAGGUAGUCUUUGCUAACAGAGAGCUCAAAAGGACCCUUAAGGCC